CGCGGCCUAUCAGCUUGUUGGUGGGGUAACGGCCUACCAAGGCGACGACGGGUAGCCGGCCUGAGAGGGCGACCGGCCACACUGGGACUGAGACACGGCCCAGACUCCUACGGGAGGCAGCAGUGGGGAAUAUUGCGCAAUGGGCGAAAGCCUGGCGCAGCGACGCCGCGUGGGGGAUGAAGGCCUUCGGGUUGUAAACCCCUUUCAGCAGGGACGAAGCGAAAGUGACGGUACCUGCAGAAGAAGCGCCGGCUAACUACGUGCCAGCAGCCGCGGUAACACGUAGGGCGCAAGCGUUGUCCGGAAUUAUUGGGCGUAAGGAGCUCGUAGGCGGUUUGUCGCGUCUGCUGUGAAAACCCGAGGCUCAACCUCGGGCCUGCAGUGGGUACGGGCAGACUAGAGUGCGGUAGGGGAGAUUGGAAUUCCUGGUGUAGCGGUGGAAUGCGCAGAUAUCAGGAGGAACACCGAUGGCGAAGGCAGAUCUCUGGGCCGUAACUGACGCUGAGGAGCGAAAGCAUGGGGAGCGAACAGGAUUAGAUACCCUGGUAGUCCAUGCCGUAAACGUUGGGAACUAGAUGUGGGGACCAUUCCACGGUCUCCGUGUCGCGGCUAACGCAUUAAGUUCCCCGC
Molecule: ribosomal RNA, 630 nt
Filed under: uncultured bacterium
Lineage: Bacteria
Description: bacterial SSU rRNA
Rfam family: Bacterial small subunit ribosomal RNA
Source: RNAcentral